Molecule: ribosomal RNA, 244 nt
Filed under: uncultured bacterium
Lineage: Bacteria
Description: partial 16S ribosomal RNA
Rfam family: Bacterial small subunit ribosomal RNA
Source: RNAcentral
UAGGGAGCGAGCGUUAUCCGGAUUUAUUGGGCGUAAAGGGUGCGUAGGCGGUUUGUUAAGUAUGAGAUUAAAGCCCGAGGCUUAACCUCGGUUCGUUUCAUAAACUGGCAGACUUGAGUAUGGCAGAGGUAAACGGAAUUUCUAGUGUAGCGGUAGAAUGCGUAGAUAUUAGAAGGAACACCAGUGGCGAAGGCGGUUUGCUGGGCCAUAACUGACGCUGAGGCACGAAAGCGUGGGGAGCAAA